This is a long non-coding RNA of Mustela putorius furo (domestic ferret), 1684 nucleotides long. NCBI's taxonomy places the organism in Eukaryota, Metazoa, Chordata, Mammalia, Carnivora, Mustelidae. The record is from Ensembl.
GUCUUUAGUUCAUUUUUGUUGCCUCUACAACUGAUGGAAUUUGUGUCCUGUCAGUGUAGAUUCUCAUUCAGCUCUGUACCUUGGUGAAUUCAGCACUUCUCAGUCUCUGAUCUGUUUGCCUUUCAAACGAAACUUUGAUUCUAACUUCUCAAUUUCGACUUCCGCCAACCCUUCCUUUUCCUUGCAUGAAAUCCCAGAAAGAUCAUUUCCAAUCUGGUUUCUUUUUGGGUAGGUUCUAGAUAAUGAUUUUAAACAAGAAGACUUAAUUGCUUUUCCACGUGCCUCAAGAAAAUUCACAUUGUACAAAAAAAAUCACAAUGUACAAAAUCUUUCCCAUUCAUGCCCCAGUUCAUCUUUCUAAAUUUAUUUGCUUUUCUUCAGAAACAUGAAAUAAUUUAACCAUUUUCAUACAUAUUUAGUGCAGUCACUUCUCAUUGUUUGUGGUAAUGUUCUGCAAGUUGAUGAGAAUACUGACUUAGCAAAUACCGUACCAUUUGCUCCUAGGGGAAGUACAGCCUUGGGCUCCUGGAAGACUGCGAUCACAUUAUUUUUAACUGAUUAAUAUGUACCUUGUUUUUAUGUGUUUGAAGACAUGUUAUGGAAUAUAUGGUUGAUUCGUUAACAUUAAAUUCAGAAACAACAACACUAUAACACAUGCCUGAGCAAAGCUUACCUAAUAAUGUGUUCUUUCUGUAACGCAAUCAGUCUUCUUGUGUGUAGAAAGACCAGACAGCUCUUGAGCACUGUGCCUGGGAGUAAUUUUAAACGGGCAAGAUCAACAAAAAUCACAAAAGUGAGAAAAACACGCUACAAAUGUCACUGGAAAAAGGCCACUUGUGAACAAGAUGAAAACCGAAACAAGAAGACAGAAUGUCUCCUUGUUUGACCUCCCCUGGUGUUGGUUUGAAAGCUCCAGAGCUUCCCAGGUGUCAUCUGAAACUGUCCUCCCAACCUGGAGAGCAGCGAGGGACAGAAGAAUGAAGCCACUGCAGUCUCAGAUGCUUUUCCUCACCUUUUCCUUAUCCUGCGUUUUGCAUGUGACUCCACUCCUGCUGUAUGUUCUGCCAUUCUGCAGAAAAGUUUCCAAAAAGAAGCCUUACAGUUGUUAACUAUGAUGAACAAGGUUAGUCCUCCCAAUUCUUAAGAUAUUCGGGUUUUCUCUAUUCCACUUCAUUCGAUUGAUUUGGUGCUUGGUUUUGCCUAUUUUACCCUUCUUUCCAAUCACAAAACUAUCUGCUUUAGUAACUGUAAAAACAACAACAAAAAAACUCAAUAUACGUGUGACUUACAACAGUUGAUUGACUCCUGCAUUCGCCGGGACGUAUGAGAGCCAGUAGUGCUUCAGAAAGGGCUAAGUUCCAACUGGGCAUUAAUGAGAUAAAACACAAGACAGGUGCUUCCUGUCUAGCGGAGGACGCAUACCUAAGAAGACAAUCACACAAAGAAGGGUAUCCUUACAAACUGUGACAAUUGCCCUGAAGGUUAUUUAACCCUGUAAAUCACAGGGGGAAAGCCCUGGGGGGGGGGGGCAGGAAUGGUUUCUUUGAGGAGGUAACACUUGAAAUCUAAGUGCAGGAAGGGGAUAUGGUGACCAGCUGCAUAUCAUAAAAGAAGUAUAUUAAAAGACCCACAAAAGGAAUGGAUGAGAGUCUGAGGAAGUGAGAGAUGACCAGGAGGUUCACGG